CCUACGGGGGGCAGCAGUGAGGAAUAUUGGUCAAUGGGCGAGAGCCUGAACCAGCCAAGCCGCGUGAAGGAUGACGGCCCUACGGGUUGUAAACUUCUUUUGUCAGGGAGCAAUUGGGUCCACGCGUGGGCUUAGCGAGAGUACCUGAAGAAAAAGCAUCGGCUAAUUCCGUGCCAGCAGCCGCGGUAAUACGGGGGUUGCGAGGGUGAUCCGGAUUUAUGGGGUUUAAAGGGUGCGUAGGCGGAAUAUCAAGUCAGCGGGAAACGUUCGGGGCUCAACCCCGUCGUGCCGUUGAAACUGAUGUUCUUGAGUGGACGAGAAGUAUGCGGAAUGCGUGGUGUAGCGGUGAAAUGCAUAGAUAUCACGCAGAACUCCGAUUGCGAAGGCAGCAUACCGGC
Molecule: ribosomal RNA, 398 nt
Filed under: uncultured bacterium
Lineage: Bacteria
Description: partial 16S ribosomal RNA
Rfam family: Bacterial small subunit ribosomal RNA
Source: RNAcentral